This 232-nucleotide unclassified non-coding RNA is filed under the name Hevea brasiliensis (rubber tree). The record is from RNAcentral. Lineage: Eukaryota; Viridiplantae; Streptophyta; Magnoliopsida; Malpighiales; Euphorbiaceae.
GGUUUUUUUGGGUGUAUUCUUUUUAUUUGAUUGCUUUUGAUAAAGCUAAUUAGAAAAUAUCACCUAAUUGAUGUCCACUGGUACUCAUACCUGAGUUGGGUUGUGAUCUUUUUCUUCUGCUGUCAUUGUUCUGUUGGAAGGUUGUCUACUCUUGUUCAGUACUUGAAAAUCACAUAUGCUUUGUCAUUAAAUAUGGAACCAUUGUAAAUUGAGUGCUUUUGUUGCAGGUGGA